Molecule: long non-coding RNA, 603 nt
Filed under: Amphimedon queenslandica
Lineage: Eukaryota; Metazoa; Porifera; Demospongiae; Haplosclerida; Niphatidae
Description: uncharacterized LOC109589333
Source: RNAcentral
AUUAUUGUGUAUUUAUUACAGCUACUGCAACUGUAGCAUCAUCAUCAUCAUCAAAUGGAGCUAUCUCAUGGAUUGGUGGAAUAUUUAUUGGUAUCAUUAUCAGUGCAGUGUUUGUUAUUAUCUUAUUAUUGAUUAUCAAAAUUGUCAUUACAAGAAGAAGUAAAGACAAACAAUUUGAACCCAACAAAAGGUCAUCAUUACAAAGUGAUAAUGUAAAUGUCACAUCCACUGUUUAUCAUCAGUCAAGAGGUCAGACUCAGAAUAUUGGGAUUUAUUCUGAUCUGUCGCAAAAUCAAUUUGAGCCAUUUUCCAAUGGGAGGGACCCUGCAGUUCCUGGUGCUAAUGAUUAUGAGAGUCCUGUUGAUGUGAAUAUAAUGACUAUUAAUAAUGAUCCAGUUUAUUCACUGGCUGAAACUGAGGAAGAAACUGGUAACUAUGACAAGUUGCAAAGGAAUUAACUUCGUCGUGAAAAUAUUAAUAAUCAUUUUAUAUUUCAUCAACUAUUUUAUAAUUUUGUUGCUAUUAUAAUGCAUAGCUAAUACAAAUGGUAUAAAUUAAGUUUGUGUUGCACCCAUGAAAGUUCUUGGUCUGGUUACAAAUUAA